UGGGGAAUUUUGGACAAUGGGCGCAAGCCUGAUCCAGCAAUGCCGCGUGAGUGAAGAAGGCCUUCGGGUUGUAAAGCUCUUUUGUCAGGGAAGAAACGGUCGGGGUUAAUACCUCUGGCUAAUGACGGUACCUGAAGAAUAAGCACCGGCUAACUACGUGCCAGCAGCCGCGGUAAUACGUAGGGUGCAAGCGUUAAUCGGAAUUACUGGGCGUAAAGCGUGCGCAGGCGGUUCUAUAAGACAGGUGUGAAAUCCCCGGGCUUAACCUGGGAAUGGCAUUUGUGACUGUAGGACUAGAGUGUGUCAGAGGGGGGUGGAAUUCCACGUGUAGCAGUGAAAUGCGUAGAUAUGUGGAGGAACACCAAUGGCGAAGGCAGCCCCCUGGGAUAACACUGACGCUCAUGCACGAAAGCGUGGGGAGCAAA
RNAcentral lists this ribosomal RNA (425 nucleotides) under uncultured bacterium. RNAcentral describes it as "bacterial SSU rRNA". It matches the Rfam family "Bacterial small subunit ribosomal RNA", at positions 355 to 772 of the family's 1533-position model. The record is from RNAcentral.